Molecule: long non-coding RNA, 1271 nt
Organism: Oncorhynchus kisutch (coho salmon)
Lineage: Eukaryota; Metazoa; Chordata; Actinopteri; Salmoniformes; Salmonidae
Exons: 4
Source: RefSeq, a predicted model, not a curated record
UUUUGUUUUGUCUUUCUGAUGGGUGGAGCGGAAAGCCAGUGACAGCACGGUGGUCUGCAUCUGCCAUUUUCCGGUGGUUAAGAGAAAUGGCCUUGUACUUACCAGAAACAGUACAGUAGCUCAUCCACCAUGGCAGAAGAGGAAGAUCCAGAACGUUGAUUGGGAAACAAGAACAAACAAUGAGGCAUGAGGAUUGGGUGUUGAGGGACCACUUGUCACAUUGUCCAAGUCCAACAGGAGUGCAUCCCUCAGGCUAUCCGGUGGAUGAACAUCCUUUGCCAGUGGGAUCCGAGGGUGAUCGUCCAGUUGUGGAGACUACAGCACAUCGAGCCUGUGGAUGGACAGGUACAUGCAGGGAUGACUGGGGCCUUCAGCAAGUAAGACACGGGGGACACUUUACCUUCACCACUGCUGUGGUGCUGCUACGGUGAGGCACCCAGGAUCCCAGACCCUAUGACCCAAAGCCCUGACUCCUGCACAUACUUCCCUGUAGCCAUUUUGAAUACCUUGAUGCCCUCCUCUUCGUUAUCUGUGCCCCACUUUACAGACAACACCCCAUCCAACGGCUGUGAUCUGAGGAGCCUUUUAAGCAGUGAACGAGUAGCGCGCUUGCCCCUAACCACUCCUCCAUAAUUGGUGCCGUCAACCUCCCUCUCCUCAUGGUGUGCCAGUUGGGUUUGGUACGCUGUCCAACUUGUGCCUACCCUAUAGCCUCCUGCUGCUCCACUGACAGUGCCAUGCCAGCCAGGAUGCCUGUAUGCCCCAGGUGCCCUUGUUUUUUUUUAACAAUGUCCGAUGUCAUCCCUGCCUGUAUCGGUUGUUCUGGCUCAGGUUCAAGGAGACCUGCCAUUCCACUGAACCUGCCACAGAGAAGGUGCUUUAGCCACUGAAGAUCCUCCUCUGUUGGCUCUCAGGACAGAGGGUUGAAGUCUUCGGCUGGGUACAGGUCCUCCACUGACUGCACCUGGUUGGGCACGGCUGGCUUCCUCCACUCACAUUCCACAUCCGUAUGGCCGAAAUUGUGAACUGCCAAAAUAGGCUGCAUGGCUACACUUAUGAGCACCACGGAGGCAUUUCCAUGUGGUAUAGAGAAUCCCCUGGUUACCUAAAGAGACCUGCCAAGAGGAAGGAUGUUAAGUGACACAUCUUUCAAUUCAUGACUUUGAACACCUUGAAAUGCAUUUGUUGAAAGAAAUGUGCUAUAUUGAUGACUGACAUUACUGCUAUAGAGGACACGUGCAGUUUUUCAAUAAACUUAAUUGAUAACUUGG